AGGUUAACCAUGUUUACUACUGAUCUUGUCUUGAGAGAUCUCUGUCUUCCCCUCUCAUUUAUGUAUCAUUUUCUCCCCUUUUUAUUUCCUAACUUUUAUUUACCUGACGGAGUGCAGGUUUUCAACCUCAAUCCCAGGCUAAGCAUCUCAUGUAGCUGACUGAUAUCAGGCAGGCAGGUGUUCGUUGUGUAAUGUUUAAGUCAAGUUGGUUCCCCAGUGUCAACUCCAUAAUACCGUCUGGAGUGGAAUUUAUUUGGCAGUGAGCUGGGGAUCUGUGGAUAUAACCAAGACAGGUGUUGGGCCAGGCUCAUCAGACAUGUUUUAAGGUUCAGGGUGCAACGGCUAUGUUUUCCGAGGCUAGGAGACAUAAAAAUCUAAGCCAUCAAAGGAAACUCUGCAGGUUCGUUGUACUGGAAAGGAAGAUAUACGAAAAGAAGGGAUAGCAGGCGUACCUUAGGCGGGCCUUCCAAUGUAUUCGUGCAAUAUAGUCUCGCGUUGUCAACCAGUUGGCAAUAUGUUAGAAAUGAAUUUGCAAAUCUCUUGUGGGAUUUCAAUUGUGAAUUUACUCGCACUGCUCUUCUAACCAUGAUAGCUCUCCUGUUGUCAUUGAGAAUGUCCACUUUCAUGCAUCAAUGUUUUUCUGACUACAAUUUGAGAGUGAAAAGAAGAAAAAUGUAAGAAAAAUGAGGUAUCUUUGACUAGUAUUGUUACCUUAUGCCUCUUAUAACAGCUAGAUAAGCGUCGCACACGACUCCAACGAGCUCUAUCCUGUAUGGUUUUCUCUUUCUGCCUCCUACUUGUACUGGUUCUUCAUCAUCAAGUCGUUCCCAAUAGUUUUCAGUGACAGUUCCAUCCUCAUUCACCCUGUAACCAGGUCCCAUGCGGUAGCGGCGGCGAUGAACAUUUCUGGCCAUUGUUAUCGUCUGCACAACAAAGGGUGCCCAAGAGAGUGUGCCGUCCAUGAUGACAUCCCGCCCUUCAUUAAGCGCUGUGACGAGGAGGGAUGAUGCUGCGUCUGUAGAUGAUUGGUGUACCUGUUUAGUAUAGUUUUAUCAGUUUUUGAGUAAAUUCUGCAUGUUGAGUUCAUCUAAAGUUUCACUGCAGCAUUCUAAUCGAGACAGGAAAAGGAGACGCAGAAAGUAGAGAGUAUAAUUGGACAGUUUUCUUAGUUGUGAAGGAUCAACUCUUCAUCCAGAUCAAGGAUAGAGAUGCACUGUAAUCAGCUGCCCCUUCAGUGCUCUUCCCUGCUCCCAUUCCACCUCCCAUGAGGAGUAGGACCGGACUUCUAUCUGCGUGAGCCACCGGAGCCAUCACCUCUGUACACGUCGAGUCAUCUGGCGCUGCGAGUCCCAUUGCCUUCAUCUCCUCCACUAAGGUAGUGAAAACUCUAGCCACCUUCAAACUUUUCGUCACUCUCUCGAAUCUCUGUUCUCUAUAUCAUAAUUGUGGUUAAUUAGUAUUCCUAGAAACUUCAAUUUUAGCAUAUCAAUUGUCAUUCUUAUUAACGCGCGCACACGCACUACCAAAAAAAAAAAAAAAAAUUCCCACCUGGUUGCUGCCAUGACAAUGUUCUUGAGCUUCUUUCUAGGCUCACCAUCACUGCUCAAGAUCUGAAAUUUCAUAAAUUGUUGUUAGUUUCGGCUUCACGGAGAAAUAUAUCACAGGGAUUCUACGUUGUAUGGCUAAAUUACGAAAAAAAUGCAUCACGAACACAUUCACAUUAUCAUUCAUAUAUUUUGUUGUUGAUCCUAAUCACCUGAGUAAUCAUCAGGUCAGCUUGGCUCCAGUGAAAUGCAAAAUAACUGAGAAUGCAUCUCUCAAACUCCUCGACAAGUUUCACGAAGAGCGAAUCUGCAUCCGGUUCACUAGCAAAGAAGUUGUAGAUGUCCUCCUCAAACCCCUCAAAUUUUCUAAUGUAUUCAGUGGCUAACUUGCAGAGCUGCGGACAUUCUCUUCUGUCUUUAAAUCCCAGCUGCCUAGCUGCACCCACAACCCCGAAAACAUUCAACCACAAAACACACCUUGCGGAUCACAAAGGCCAUGAAAAACAAGCGGACGAUCACGUAAUCAUUACCUACGUAGUGGGGAAACCUCUCGAGCUUCUGAUGAACGCGGACUGAGUCGGAAACCUUGAGGCGGGGGACGAUCUUGUGAUCCUUGUGCUUUCGGAGGCGGUAAUGAAGGGCGGCGGCGACGACGAUGCCGAUGGAGGAGGCUACAAGGAUGUGAGAGAAGGUGUGAUCCGAAGAAAAGGGAGAGGUGACGGGGAAUGAAAAAGGAGAGAGGUUUUUGGAUGGAGGGUGGAAGCAAAGAGCGACGGAAGAGGCCAAUAUCAAGAGGGUGACUAGUUUUGUUCCAUGAUAUUUCAUAUCUUUCUGCAUGUCUCUUACAAAUUCCAGGAAAAUUGCUAAGAUUUGAAGAAAGAAUCUAUGAAUAUUUUUAUUUAUUUAUUUUUUAUUCUUUUU
Long non-coding RNA from Malus domestica (apple), 2465 nucleotides. RefSeq lists it as uncharacterized. NCBI's taxonomy places the organism in Eukaryota, Viridiplantae, Streptophyta, Magnoliopsida, Rosales, Rosaceae. The record is from RefSeq and is a predicted model, not a curated record.